CGGGUGAGUAAAAAGGGGGCAACCUGCCUGUAAGACUGGGAUAACUUCGGGAAACCGGAGCUAAUACCGGAUAAUCCUUUUCUACUCAUGUAGAAAAGCUGAAAGACGGUUUACGCUGUCACUUACAGAUGGGCCCGCGGCGCAUUAGCUAGUUGGUGAGGUAACGGCUCACCAAGGCGACGAUGCGUAGCCGACCUGAGAGGGUGAUCGGCCACACUGGGACUGAGACACGGCCCAGACUCCUACGGGAGGCAGCAGUAGGGAAUCUUCCGCAAUGGACGAAAGUCUGACGGAGCAACGCCGCGUGAGUGAUGAAGGUUUUCGGAUCGUAAAACUCUGUUGUUAGGGAAGAACAAGUACGAGAGUAACUGCUCGUACCUUGACGGUACCUAACCAGAAAGCCACGGCUAACUACGUGCCAGCAGCCGCGGUAAUACGUAGGUGGCAAGCGUUGUCCGGAAUUAUUGGGCGUAAAGCGCGCGCAGGCGGUCCUUUAAGUCUGAUGUGAAAGCCCACGGCUCAACCGUGGAGGGUCAUUGGAAACUGGGGGACUUGAGUGCAGAAGAGAAGAGUGGAAUUCCACGUGUAGCGGUGAAAUGCGUAGAGAUGUGGAGGGAACACCAGUGGCGAAGGCGACUCUUUGGUCUGUAACUGACGCUGAGGCGCGAAAGCGUGGGGAGCAAACAGGAUUAGAUACCCU
This 700-nucleotide ribosomal RNA is filed under the name Niallia circulans. RNAcentral describes it as "bacterial SSU rRNA". It matches the Rfam family "Bacterial small subunit ribosomal RNA", at positions 103 to 788 of the family's 1533-position model. Lineage: Bacteria; Bacillati; Bacillota; Bacilli; Caryophanales; Bacillaceae. The record is from RNAcentral.